RNAcentral lists this ribosomal RNA (601 nucleotides) under uncultured bacterium. RNAcentral describes it as "bacterial SSU rRNA". It matches the Rfam family "Bacterial small subunit ribosomal RNA", at positions 49 to 652 of the family's 1533-position model. The record is from RNAcentral.
UCAUACAUGCAAGUCGAACGAGAAAGUAUCUUCGGAUACGAGUACAGUGGCGGACGGGUGAGUAAUACAUAGGAAUCUACCCAAUGGAGGGGGAUAGCUCGAGGAAACUCGAAUUAAUACCGCAUAAUCUCCACGGAGUAAAGAGGGCUUCGGCUCUCGCCAUCGGAUGAGCCUAUGCAGGAUUAGCUUGUUGGUGAGGUAAAGGCUUACCAAGGCGACGAUCCUUAGCUGGUUUGAGAGGAUGACCAGCCACAUCGGGACUGAGACACGGCCCGGACUUCUACGGAAGGCAGCAGUAGGGAAUAUUGGACAAUGAGCGAAAGCUUGAUCCAGCCAUGCCGCGUGUGCGAUGACGGCCCUCGGGUUGUAAAGCACUUUAGGUAACGAGGAAAAGUUAGGUGUUAAUACCAUCUAACCUUGACGUUAAUUACAGAAUAAGCACCGGCUAAAUCCGUGCCAGCAGCCGCGGUAAUACGGAUGGUGCAAGCGUUAAUCGGAAUUACUGGGCGUAAAGCGCGCGUAGGUGGCAUAUUAAGUUAGAUGUGAAAUCCCGAGGCUUAACCUCGGAACUGCAUCUAAAACUAAUAAGCUAGAGUACUAG